CAGCUAAAGGCUAAUUAUUUUUAAACACAAAAAGAUUUUAGCAUAUUAUUUGAGUCUCAGUGGGAAUAUGUCUAAAAAAUAGACUUUUUUUGGAAUACAGUAUCAGUAGUCUAGUUCUCAUGAAAUAUGACAUGGGUAACGUGGCUACUAUAGGAUGUGGGGUCACCAGGUCAUCAUGAAAACCACCAUUAAUGAACCCUAAACUCUGUGCCUUGGGAAGACCAUCUAAUCCAAUACCCUGUUUCUAAAGAUGGGAAAGCGGAGGAUCAAAUGGUGAAAUGAUCUGAUGUCAUGACCUUGGCAAGAACAAGUGAUACAGUUCAGCUUUUACUAUAUAUUUCUAUUUAUGGUUAUCUUCGUAUUUUUAGAAGUUUUGGGGUUUUUUUUUUAUAGUUUUGUGAAAGAAAGGAUGGGAAUAAGAUUUGUGUUUAUUUUGCAUAAACCUAUCUUGUGUGGAAGAUGUGUAAUGAUUUCAUAUAAGAGACAUCACAGCAAUGGUACUUAGAUUUUGAGUUAAUGAAUGGUGUUUAGGUUGAGAUACACAUCUGUUAUGAUUUUCAAUAAUAUUAAUGAUGUUGAUGGUGAUAGCAACAUUUAUGUAACCACAAGUUAAUAUUAUUCAAAGCUCCAUUCUGAUUUGGAAAGAACAGCAGAUUUUGCAUCCAAGGACUGACUCUUAAGUCUUACUUUUGCCACUUAGUAGCCGAGUGACCCAUAAAAUGAGAAUGGUAAUACACACUUCUACUCACAGUAUGUAAUUGAUGAAGAAUAAAUAUGCUUAUUGGAGAUCAUUUUAAUCUAUGAAGCACUAUAAGACAUAAGCUGUUAUUUAUCAAAAAAAUAUAAUUCUAAUGUUGCCCCAGUGUUGCUCCAAAUAACAAAACUUUUAAAGUCAUAAAAACAAGUAAAAAUUUUGGGUAAAAAUGUAACUUUUUAUUAAAUAAGCAUUGCAUUGCAGUUGAGGAAAAGAUAAUGUUGAAAUUCAAAAUUGUGUGCAGAAACGAUACUGGAGUAUUUGUGUCAGACAUUGUCAAAGGAGGAAUUGCGGAUGCCGAUGGAAGACUGAUGCAGGGAGACCAGAUAUUAAUGGUGAAUGGGGAAGACGUUCGUAAUGCCACCCAGGAAGCGGUUGCCGCUUUGCUAAAGGUGAGUGAAGGCAGCCUGUCAUCUUUCACUUUUCCACUCUCUGGAUCCAGUACAUCUGAGUCACUGGAAAGUAGCUCAAAGAAGAAUGCAUUGGCAUCUGAAAUACAGGGAUUAAGAACAGUUGAAAUAAAAAAGGUUGGGGAUAGGAUUGUCACUAUCUGUGGCACAUCCACUGAGGGCAUGACUCACACCCAAGCAGUUAACCUACUGAAAAAUGCAUCUGGCUCCAUUGAAAUGCAGGUGGUUGCUGGAGGAGAUGUGAGUGUGGUCACAGGUCAUCAGCAGGAGCCUGCAAGUUCCAGUCUUUCUUUCACUGGGCUGACGUCAAGCAGUAUAUUUCAGGAUGAUUUAGGACCUCCUCAAUGUAAGUCUAUUACACUAGAGCGAGGACCAGAUGGCUUAGGCUUCAGUAUAGUUGGAGGAUAUGGCAGCCCUCAUGGAGACUUACCCAUUUAUGUUAAAACAGUGUUUGCAAAGGGAGCAGCCUCUGAAGACGGACGUCUGAAAAGGGGCGAUCAGAUCAUUGCUGUCAAUGGGCAGAGUCUAGAAGGAGUCACCCAUGAAGAAGCUGUUGCCAUCCUUAAACGGACAAAAGGCACUGUCACACUGAUGGUUCUCUCUUGAAUUGGCUGCCAGAAUUGAACCAACCCAACCCCUAGCUCACCUCCUACUGUAAAGAGAAUGGACUGGUCCUGACAUUUUUUAUGCUGUGUUCAGCCGGGUCUUCAAAACUGUAGAGGGGAAAUAACACUUAAGUUUGUUUUUCUCAUAUACAAAUGCUUUCCUUACUGACAACCUAAUAUCAUUUUUCUUUUCUUCUCGCAUUUUGUGAACUUAAAGUCAGAGAGAAGGAAUAUUUGUGUAGGUGAAUCUCGUUUUUAUUUGUGAAGAUAUCUAAUGUUUUGUAGUCACAUGGGCAAGAAUUAUUACAUGCUAAGCUGGUUAGUAUAAAGAAAGAUAAAUUCUAAGGCUAACCAAAGAAAAUGGCUUCAGUAAAUUAGGAUGAAAAAUGAAAAUAUAAAAUAAAGAAGAAAAUCUCGGGGAGUUUAAAAAAAUUGCCUCAAUUUGGCAAUCUACCUCCUCUCCCCACCCCAAACUAAAAAAAAGAAAAAAAAGUUUUCUAAUGAAAAUCUUUAAAAAUGCUGUCAGUAUUUUAAAAUUUUCAAUACAGUAUUAUAAAAACAUUGCAUCUCCCCACCUCUAAUAUGCAUACAUAUUUUUCCUGCUAAAAUUGGUUUCUAGAAUUGAGUAAAUGGCAAAUAUAUGAAGCAAUGUCCCUACAUUUUAUAAAGAAAUUAUAUUUAAUGCACAUUUCAAUUUUCAUUUUUAUUUUUGACCUUUUAUAAAAUAUUUUCAUGUUGCUAUGAGUAAAUGAUGAUGCCACCCCAUGUUGACUAUGGUUUUUCUAGAAAGCAACUAUGCUGCUAACCAUAGAGGAACAUAGAAGGGUUCCAGAAUCUUUAGUGCUGGUUUUAACAACCGAUGCAACAUUAAAAAUGUGUUUGUUAGUGUGCUGUGCAAUUGGUUUUCAAUUCGUAUUAAUCUUAAUGACAGAGAACAAUGUGUUACUAAUUAUUUUGGUUGUAUGCCAUUAGUAAAUUGAUAGAAAAAUUAAGGGGAUUAACAUAACUUCAUUUCAUUGCCUUAUAUUAACAUCUGAUAAUACAAUAGUUUAAGACUAAGGGAAACAGAUGGAGCUGUUUAUUGAGACAACUGGUGAGGAAUUAUCAUGUGUUCAUUCCCAUUUUAGAGCGUGAAACUCCUACAUUAGAAUAUAUAAAGUCACUUUAAAUAUUAUCUAUAUUUGUAACAGAAGUAGUGUACAGAUAUUUUAUUACAGCAUUUUUGUGUAAAUGCAGAAUUAAAGUGAAUAAAUAAGAAUUUUCAGUGGUGCACAAAU
This 3046-nucleotide small RNA is filed under the name Pongo abelii (Sumatran orangutan). RNAcentral's name for it is "retained intron". Lineage: Eukaryota; Metazoa; Chordata; Mammalia; Primates; Hominidae. The record is from RNAcentral.